Molecule: transfer RNA, 73 nt
Filed under: bacterium F11
Lineage: Bacteria
Rfam family: tRNA
About the family: Transfer RNA (tRNA) molecules are approximately 80 nucleotides in length. Their secondary structure includes four short double-helical elements and three loops (D, anti-codon, and T loops).
Source: Rfam by way of RNAcentral
GCUGGGGUAGCUCAGUUGGUAGAGCACGUCCUUGGUAAGGACGAGGUCGGCGGUUCGAUCCCGCUCUCCAGCU